UGGGGAAUAUUGCACAAUGGGGGAAACCCUGAUGCAGCGACGCCGCGUGAGCGAAGUAGGUUUUCGAAUCGUAAAGCUCUGUCCUAUGGGAAGAUAAUGACGGUACCAUAGGAGGAAGCCCCGGCUAACUACGUGCCAGCAGCCGCGGUAAUACGUAGGGGGCAAGCGUUGUCCGGAAUCACUGGGCGUAAAGGGUUCGCAGGCGGAAAUGCAAGUCAGUUGUGAAAGGCAGAGGCUCAACCUCUGUAAGCAAUUGAAACUGUAUUUCUUGAGAUGUGGAGAGGCAAGUGGAAUUCCUAGUGUAGCGGUGAAAUGCGUAGAUAUUAGGAAGAAUACCGGUGGCGAAGGCGACUUGCUGGACACAAACUGACGCUGAGGAACGAAAGCGUGGGUAGCAAACAGG
This 403-nucleotide ribosomal RNA is filed under the name Fusobacteriota bacterium. Its description in RNAcentral is "Fusobacteria bacterium partial 16S ribosomal RNA". It matches the Rfam family "Bacterial small subunit ribosomal RNA", at positions 355 to 776 of the family's 1533-position model. The record is from RNAcentral. Lineage: Bacteria; Fusobacteriati; Fusobacteriota.